AUUGAACGCUAGCGGCAGGCUUAACACAUGCAAGUCGAACGAGCGGCGGACGGGUGAGUAAUGUAUGGGAAACUGCCUGAUGGAGGGGGAUAACUACUGGAAACGGUAGCUAAUACCGCAUACCAUCAGAUGUGCCCAUAUGGGAUUAGCUAGUAGGUGGGGUAAUGGCUCACCUAGGCGACGAUCCCUAGCUGGUCUGAGAGGCUGACCAGCCACACUGGAACUGAGACACGGCCCAGACUCCUACGGGAGGCAGCAGUGGGGAAUAUUGCACAAUGGGGGCAAGCCUGAUGCAGCCAUGCCGCGUGUAUGAAGAAGGCCUUCGGGUUGUAAAGUACUUUCGGCGGGGAGGCGUUAUCCGCAGAAGAAGCACCGGCUAACUCCGUGCCAGCAGCCGCGGUAAUUC
This 406-nucleotide ribosomal RNA is filed under the name uncultured bacterium. RNAcentral describes it as "partial 16S ribosomal RNA". It matches the Rfam family "Bacterial small subunit ribosomal RNA", at positions 30 to 526 of the family's 1533-position model. The record is from RNAcentral.